UUUCCGUAGGUGAACCUGCGGAAGGAUCAUUACCGAGGGCCCCUCCCCGACGCAGCCAUGCGUCGCCGAAGGGGCUAUUCUCACCACCCUUUUUUAUACGUACCUCUUAUUCUUCCUCGGCGGGGCAACCUGCCGAUGGAACACACAUCAUAACCUCUUUGCAUCCAGCAUUACUUGUUCUGAUACCCUAAAUUUUACAACUUUCAACAAUGGAUCUCUUGGCUCUG
Molecule: unclassified non-coding RNA, 227 nt
Filed under: root metagenome
Description: partial contains small subunit ribosomal RNA, internal transcribed spacer 1, and 5.8S ribosomal RNA
Source: RNAcentral